RNAcentral lists this ribosomal RNA (396 nucleotides) under uncultured bacterium. Its description in RNAcentral is "partial 16S ribosomal RNA". It matches the Rfam family "Bacterial small subunit ribosomal RNA", at positions 338 to 731 of the family's 1533-position model. The record is from RNAcentral.
CCUACGGGAGGCAGCAGUGAGGAAUAUUGGUCAAUGGGCGCGAGCCUGAACCAGCCAAGUAGCGUGAAGGAUGACUGCCCUACGGGUUGUAAACUUCUUUUACACGGGCAUAACGCGAGGCACUUGUGCCUGUCUGUAUGUACUUUAUGAAUAAGGACCGGCUAACUCCGUGCCAGCAGCCGCGGUAAUACGGAGGAGCCGAGCGUUAUCCGGAUUUAAUGGGUUUAAAGGGAGCGUAGGUGGGUUGUUAAGGCCGUUGUAAAAAUCGGGGGCUCAACCGUAGAAUUGCAGUUGAAACUGGCAGUCUUGAGUACAGAAGAGGCAGGCGGAAUUCGUGGUGUAGCGGUGAAAUGCAUAGAUAUCACGAAGAACUCCGAUUGCGAAGGCAGCUUGCUA